CCUACGGGUGGCUGCAGUAGGGAAUCUUCCGCAAUGGACGAAAGUCUGACGGAGCAACGCCGCGUGAGCGAAGAAGGUCUUCGGAUCGUAAAGCUCUGUUGUUAGGGAAGAACAAGUACGGGAGGAAAUGACCGUACCUUGACGGUACCUAACGAGGAAGCCACGGCUAACUACGUGCCAUCAGCCGCGGUAAUACGUAGGUGGCAAGCGUUGUCCGGAAUUAUUGGGCGUAAAGGGUGCGUAGGCGGCCCUGCCAGUCAGGUGUGAAAACUAUGGGCUUAACUCAUAGAUUGCACUUGGAGCUUUGGGGAAUGAGUGAAGUAAGGGCCAGGUGAAUUCUCGGUGUAGGGGUGAAAUGCGUAGAGAGCGGGAAGAACACCAGUUGCGAAGGCGGCCUGCAGAGCUUUACCUGACGCUGAGGCUCGAAAGCGUGGGUAGCAAACAGGAUUAGAUACUGCUGGAGUC
This 465-nucleotide ribosomal RNA is filed under the name uncultured bacterium. RNAcentral's name for it is "bacterial SSU rRNA". It matches the Rfam family "Bacterial small subunit ribosomal RNA", at positions 338 to 795 of the family's 1533-position model. The record is from RNAcentral.